This 490-nucleotide ribosomal RNA is filed under the name uncultured bacterium. RNAcentral's name for it is "partial 16S ribosomal RNA". It matches the Rfam family "Bacterial small subunit ribosomal RNA", at positions 30 to 507 of the family's 1533-position model. The record is from RNAcentral.
AUUGAACGCUGGCGGCAGGCCUAACACAUGCAAGUCGAACGGUAACAGGAAGCAGCUUGCUGCUUUGCUGACGAGUGGCGGACGGGUGAGUAAUGUCUGGGAAACUGCCUGAUGGAGGGGGAUAACUACUGGAAACGGUAGCUAAUACCGCAUAACGUCGCAAGACCAAAGAGGGGGACCUUAGGGCCUCUUGCCAUCGGAUGUGCCCAGAUGGGAUUAGCUAGUAGGUGGGGUAACGGCUCACCUAGGCGACGAUCCCUAGCUGGUCUGAGAGGAUGACCAGCCACACUGGAACUGAGACACGGUCCAGACUCCUACGGGAGGCAGCAGUGGGGAAUAUUGCACAAUGGGCGCAAGCCUGAUGCAGCCAUGCCGCGUGUAUGAAGAAGGCCUUCGGGUUGCAAAGUACUUUCAGCGGGGAGGAAGGGAGUAAAGUUAAUACCUUUGCUCAUUGACGUUACCCGCAGAAGAAGCACCGGCUAACUCCGUG